RNAcentral lists this ribosomal RNA (1153 nucleotides) under Xenopsylla cheopis (oriental rat flea). RNAcentral's name for it is "SSU rRNA". It matches the Rfam family "Eukaryotic small subunit ribosomal RNA", at positions 395 to 1470 of the family's 1831-position model. The record is from RNAcentral. Lineage: Eukaryota; Metazoa; Arthropoda; Insecta; Siphonaptera; Pulicidae.
CCUGAGAAACGGCUACCACAUCCAAGGAAGGCAGCAGGCGCGCAAAUUACCCACUCCCGGCACGGGGAGGUAGUGACGAAAAAUAACGAUACGGGACUCAUCCGAGGCCCCGUAAUCGGAAUGAGUACACUUUAAAUCCUUUAACGAGUAUCAAUUAGAGGGCCAGUCUGGUGCCAGCAGCCGCGGUAACCCCAGCUCUAAUAGCGUAUAUUAAAGUUGUUGCGGUUAAAAAGCUCGUAGUUGAAUCUGUGUCCCACACUGUCGGUUCACCGCUCGCGGUGUUCAACUGGCAUGUCUGUGGGACGUCCUACCGGUGGGCUUAGCCCGUCAAAAGGCGGCCCAACUCAAAAUCCUACCACGGUGCUCUUCACCGAGUGUCGAGGUGGGCCGGUACGUUUACUUUGAACAAAUUAGAGUGCUUAAAGCAGGCUCAUUCGCCUGAAUAUUGUGUGCAUGGAAUAAUGGAAUAGGACCUCGGUUCUAUUUUGUUGGUUUUCGGAAUUCCGAGGUAAUGAUUAAUAGGGACAACUGGGGGCAUUCGUAUUGCGACGUUAGAGGUGAAAUUCUUGGAUCGUCGCAAGACGGACAGAAGCGAAAGCAUUUGCCAAAUGUGUUUUCAUCAAUCAAGAACGAAAGUUAGAGGUUCGAAGGCGAUCAGAUACCGCCCUAGUUCUAACCAUAAACGAUGCCAGCUAGCGAUCCGCCGAAGUUCCUCCGAUGACUCGGCGGGCAGCUUCCGGGAAACCAAAGCUUUUGGGUUCCGGGGGAAGUAUGGUUGCAAAGCUGAAACUUAAAGGAAUUGACGGAAGGGCACCACCAGGAGUGGAGCCUGCGGCUUAAUUUGACUCAACACGGGAAACCUCACCAGGCCCGGACACCGGAAGGAUUGACAGAUUGAGAGCUCUUUCUUGAUUCGGUGGGUGGUGGUGCAUGGCCGUUCUUAGUUCGUGGAGUGAUUUGUCUGGUUAAUUCUGAUAACGAACGAGACUCUAGCCUACUAAAUAGACGUACUUUCCGGUAUCUCGAAGGCCCGCCGGCUGGGUUUCGGCCCAUGUCCGUGUGUGGUUUUUACUACCGGCGUACACAUAUAUCUUCUUAGAGGGACAGGCGGCGUUUAGUCGCACGAAAUUGAGCAAUAACAGGUCAGUGAUGC